UACGUAGGGUGCAAGCGUUAAUCGGAAUUACUGGGCGUAAAGCGUGCGCAGGCGGUUUCGUAAGUCUGUCGUGAAAGCCCCGGGCUCAACCUGGGAAUGGCGGUGGAUACUGGCGGACUAGAGUGCGGUAGAGGGUGGUGGAAUUCCCGGUGUAGCAGUGAAAUGCGUAGAGAUCGGGAGGAACAUCUGUGGCGAAGGCGGCCACCUGGACCAGCACUGACACUGAGGCACGAAAGCGUGGGUAGCAAACAGG
RNAcentral lists this ribosomal RNA (253 nucleotides) under uncultured bacterium. RNAcentral's name for it is "partial 16S ribosomal RNA". It matches the Rfam family "Bacterial small subunit ribosomal RNA", at positions 524 to 776 of the family's 1533-position model. The record is from RNAcentral.